Molecule: long non-coding RNA, 280 nt
Filed under: Hordeum vulgare
Lineage: Eukaryota; Viridiplantae; Streptophyta; Magnoliopsida; Poales; Poaceae
Description: long non-coding RNA (HVUL_LNC002119)
Source: RNAcentral
AAAGGGGCUUCCCCCCUGCUCCACCUUUUUUUAGGGAAAUUAUGGAGAUGAUUUGAUUGUAUUUUUUCUCUAAAGUACUCACGUUGCUCACAUAAUUAAGCGAAUAUUGCAACAGCGGAAGGACCAUUGGAUUGAGUAUAUUUAUUACUAUAUAUAAGGGCAUAAACCUGCAGAAAGCAAAGCUGCAAAGGGGUGGAAAGAAACGGAAUGGGACGUGGAUCGAUCUGGGGCGAUCGAUGGUACAUAUUCCUCUACGGGAACGCACACCGCACUAUGGGCA